This is a long non-coding RNA of Magnolia sinica, 2898 nucleotides long. RefSeq lists it as uncharacterized. The transcript is spliced from 7 exons. The record is from RefSeq and is a predicted model, not a curated record. Lineage: Eukaryota; Viridiplantae; Streptophyta; Magnoliopsida; Magnoliales; Magnoliaceae.
AUUUAAAUUUAUUGGAAUUUUUUUCCUUAUAUGCACCUAUUUAAUACUUAUCUUUUUUGUAGAUUUUAAUUGCAUUCAUGUUGUUUUAAGAGUAGUGUUUCUUGUUUAUAGAUUUUACAUUCCCAUUUGUAGUUGUGCAAGGACAAACAUUAUAUUCCACAAUGGGACCCAUGGUUCUAUAAUCCAGACCAUUGGCCUAUUGCAUCGAACUGCAGAUUGAUGAAGGCCUAAAAAUCUUCGUGAUGGGAAAUUCACAGGCACCAAUCUUUGGAUAAAUUUCAUUUGGAUGGAGACCGGCACUCUAAUUUUUAACCAAAAUGAACUUUUUUUUUUGCCACAAUCAAAAGGCUAGAAUUGUCCCAGCUAAAAGAAUUUAAUACUCUACACAAGGAAGAAUGUAACAGACCAAUGGUCAGGACUGCCUAUUUGGCUUCGUGGAAAUAGAAAUGAAGGAAACAAUGUUUCUUAAAAUGCCAUUUAUAAAUGUUGAGAAAGGUAAAAUAGUUUGUCUUAAGGCCAGUUUGAAUAAAUUGCAGAUUGGAGAAUGCAACUAGUUUGCAUCAACAAGGAAUUUAUACCUAUUUGGGAAGUAAUUGCAUUUGCCGGCUGUAUUCUCAUUCCUUUUAUGCAGAGAAGGAUUGUUGGUCUUCAUCAGAAUACAUCAGUUGGAUCAACUUACAUAACUGAAUGUUUUCCUUUAAAAAAAAAUUCUUUUUUCUUCACCUUGAGCUUGGAGGAAGAUUAUACUGUGGUUUUGACCAAAUCUAUAUGCCUAUUUUCAUAUCCAAAUACAAAAUUCAAGCGUGUUUGAUGAAUCUGAGUUGAAUGGAUCACUUUGGGAAUUGCGAAAAACAUGCAAGACAGAUAAAUAAUCAUUUUUUUUUUCGUUUUUUAGGUUUCUUCUUUUGUUUUGUAUUUUCAAUGUAAUGGGCCCUAAUUAACCCAAUCAUAUUUGAUGCGUGUUCUAUUAGGGCCCAUUUGGAUGAUUUUCCUGUUAUUCAUGUUUUAACCCCUUUUUUCCACUGAAUUUUUUAAUCAAUUUUUUCUUAUCUAUUUUAUUUUUAUUGUAAAUGAUACAUGAUUAGGUUGCUUGUGCUCAUGCUUGGAAGAGUAAGGAAAGAAAAGUUGAUUCGGGCAUCUUUGGACAUUUUUGGGCAUUUUGUACUUUUAUUAUUAUUAUUAUUAUUAUUGUGGUUUACUCUUUAUCCUGAUUAGGUUGCUUGUGCUCAUGCUUGAAAUUAUUAUAAGCAUGUUUUUUUUUAUAACAACAUGUAUGUAACUUGUUUAUAUAUAAGCAUGUAUUUAUUGUCUUUUUUAAAAUUUGCUAUUUUUUUUUUCAUUUUUUCUUUUCUUUUUGCCGUUUAAGGUCAGGCAGGUCAGGCUAACAGAAACCAUUAAUGCCCCAUCAAAUGUAUGCCACAAAAUACGAAUGAUACACAUGUUUUCCUUUUUUACUACAUAUAAAUGUGCAUGUCUUUUUACCACAGAAACCAUCAGAAAUAGCUAUUUACUACAUAUAAAUGGGAUUGAAUGCCUACCGUUGACAAUCACUUGGGAAAAGCAGUUGGUAGCUUAUUGUAGGUCUAGUGCAAUGUGUUUCAAGGUGUAGCAGGGGAAGUUGCUUUGACUUCAAGUGGUGGAUUGAAGAAGCUAUCUUUAUUAACUGAUAACUAUGAAGAGGUUGCAAUGAAUAAAAUUCUGAGUUUGUAGUAAAUUUCAGAAGUAGAACUAAUGCAUGCCCAAAAUCAGCUAGGGUGGUAAUUGACCGAACAUCAGGAUAUUUGAAGGGCUUUGGGUUUGUCACAUGCCCUAUGAUUGAAGAGAUGGAGCUGGGCAUAAAGGGAAUGGAUGGUCAGCUACAUCACUGAUAGAGCCGGCGACCCCCUUCUAUUUUGGCAUUUAUCAAUGGAUGCAAGUUCUGGUUGAGGACUACAUUUUCAGUGGAGGCAUUUUCUCUAUGUCAAUAUUUCAGUAUACUAAUGAGGAAAAAAGCUCUCAAGGUACUCUCUCUCAGAAGAGCACUUUGUUUGGAUGAUCAAGAUUCACACUAGAUUGGAUGCAGAUAAAACUUAUGUGAAUACUUGGCUGUGCAUGUACAACUAUUCCAACACAAGUAUACGACAUCCUCUUGUUCAUUAAUGAGGUUCAUGUGCAGAGGUUUUUGGUUUUUUAGGUGAUGAAAAUCAUGUAGAAACCUGGAUGUAUAGCGUGAAGCAUUGGCUCCCAUCUAAAGAACUCUAAAAUGCAAAGGUCUUAAAUGGACUAGUAUCACGGUGGACAGUAGGGAUGGAUCAAUAGUGGUAGUGAUGGAAAUGGCGGAGGAUUUGAACCAUCAGAUGUUUGGGAUUGUUUAUAGCUGCAAGAGCCGGAGGUCGGUAGCUGGAAUUGCUGGGGUGAAUGCUGCUUUUGCGGGCUUGAAAGAUCAGUUAUAUGGAAUUCCAUUCGUUAUGAAACAGAGGAGGAAGACAGUGAAGACAACAAGGGAAAUUUUGAAAAAUUUGCAAGAAUGUAGAGUUGUGGAGAAUCUCGAUGCUUCUCUACCUCCGAAGGGGAUGGUCAUUGUUGUUUUCUGACCCGAUGGCUGGAGCUUUCACUCAGUGUGGCAUCCGUUUCUGUUUUGUACACAACAUGAGUUCAGAAAAUGUGAGUUUUUUGUUUUUUCUUUCUAAAACUGCUGCUGUUGAGUUGUUGCAUGAUGCUUGGUUUGACUAGCAAUUUCACUAGUGUGGCCCUCCUUUCACUGGCAUGUGUUGUUAACCUCUGAUGGGCUCCAUCAUAAAUGGCCUCUGGCAUUGAAAAUCUCUUCCAUUGGACAAGUCUACUAUCCGAUUGCCAGUCAUUAUAGAACCAAUCAUUGUUCUAUAAUCCAAUCACAAUUUCAGGCCCACUUGAUGGAUA